GAGUCAUCAAAGCAGUGGACUUUGAAGAAGAAUUCACUGUUUGGAUUAUUACACAACGCCUAAUUCCAGUAACAAAUUCUGUCAUAUUAUACUGCAUUGCCAAACUAUCAAUCUGAUCAGACACGGUAUCAUAAAAUUCUGUAGUGUAAAUCCUGAAAAUAGCCUACUCCAUGUUCAGCUUUCUCGUUCACAUCCAAUUUGUUCAGCUUUUCUGAAAAUAAGCCAUUUGAACUGGCGUUGAGAAUAAAAAUUCAAAUUGAACGCCAUUUUAAAUGGCGUUGGAACUUUUUUUUUAUAAUGCAAAUGUGGAAUGGAAUAGAUGCACACAAGCAAAUGUGAACAGAGCUUGAACACCAUUUCAAAUGGCGUUGAAACAUUUUUUGUUUUUUUCUCAAUAAAGCAAAUGGCAGCUUUUUUGAUGCAGGAAAUGUGGAAUAGAGCUUGAAUGCCUUCCAAGUAAAAGUAGCUUAAAAUCAAUCUGAUUUUGUGGCAAUGACCGCAUAACAUCCUUGCUCUUGGAUAGAACUUUAGCCUUCCAAGUAAAAGUAGCCAAAGUAUUGGGAACAAGGUCUUGUGCGCGAGUUAGAAAAGUAUACUAAUAAAUUUAUUUAAACCAGUAGAUAUUUUAAUGUAUUUCUUAACUGGUAUGCAUAAGCACAAGUGCACUUGUAUUGAUUUACUAAAUGUGGUUUAGAUCUGAAUUACAAUGGUUGCCUUUGACCGUCUCUUUUGUAUACUCUGGCAGUAUGAUGAAGACAAAACUCACAUAAGAGAUGCUAUUAAGUCUGGAAAGGCAAGACUACAUACACUAAUCUUUAUUUGUGUAUCUCAUUACAUACUUCAUUCGGAUUAUAUAAUUUAAGUUUGUUUUUUUUGUAUCUUUUUUAGAUCAUCAUUGCAUCAACAUGGACGUUUGAAGACUUUAGGGCUGCUAUCCCUGAGAGCAUUGGUUCUCCACCGGUAUCAGAUAUUAAUUUACAGGUUUAACUUCUGCUGUUUGAUAUCUUUACAUUUUUCUUUGUUUCCAGAUGUUGACCUUGAUACGCAACGUCAAAUUUUCAUUUUUUAUAUUAAACAUUUUUUUUGUUUCUUGAAGGUACACAUACUUAGUAGUUUUUUGAUACUUGAAUGUUGAACCUAUGACUAGCUGGACCGAUCAUAGUUAUUUAGAAUUGUGAUUUCAUUAGAAAUCUUUUUGGUAGUACUCUAUAGAUUUUUUCUUUAAUAGAAAACAAUAAACCCAAUUUUUGUUCUUCCUAGUAAUUUGUAAGUGAUUGUUGAGUCGUUGACAUUUAUAGUUAUGCAGUUCCAUAGUUUAGCAUAUUAAGUGACUCCCGAUUUUAUAUGGUAGCCUGAAUUUGUCUAUAUGGGUCACUCAUGGUAUCUUUUCACGCUAUUGAUGGCUUUAAGUUAAAAUUUUGGUAAACCAUAUCUUAGACCUGUCCCAUGAUCUAUCGUAUUAAGGUGGAACACGAGUCAAAUGUUUAUGUCGACUUUGAAUAAUUAUGUAGAUGAGUACAAGUUUAUUGCAAUACAUAGCUAUUGUUUGUCGCUGCGAACCGCUGUUGAUUUUUCUGGCGAGUUUUACUUCCCAAAUUUAGAUGGGGUAUCUAGCCAAUUUUUAAUUCCAGUCCAGUGUACAUUGUUUGGUAUGGGCUGUUUGAGUUUUCUUGCCAUGUUAUAUAGUUUUUUAGACAUGUCUCAUCAUAUAUCUGAAGAGUGGUUUCACAAUGUAACAGGAAUGGCCCGAAGAAGAAUAUCCUCCAUAUGCCAACGGACCUGGAUAUAUAAUUUCCAGUGAUAUCGCCAAAUAUAUCGCCUCUCAGCGUGUUAAAAGAAGCCUAAGGGUUUGUAAACCAGAAAGCUAAUAAUCUUUUACAUCUAUUAUCAAUGAUGAUUAAAGUUCUAUUACUGAAGCAAAUAGUUCUAUGCUUCUCUCUUUGGCAGCUCUUCAAGAUGGAGGAUGUGAGCAUGGGAAUGUGGGUUCAACAGUUCAACAUCUCCACACCUGUCCAAUACUCCCAUAGCUGGAAAUUUUGCCAGUAUGGGUGCCUGGAGAAUUAUUUCACCACUCAUUACUAAUCUCCUAGGCAAAUGAUAUGUCUUUGGGACAAACUGGCAAGGGGUCAAGCUCGUUGCUGCAACUUUUAAAAGAGAAAGCGAUUUUCAACUACAGGGAUUGAAAUUAUUUUGCAGCCAUUUCGCUAUUGCUAGAAAUUCUUUCACCUCUUUGUCAAAUCUUGCACAUUUUAUAGACGAAUGGAGAUUGCUGCUUCAGUUUUUUUGGGAAUUUUUAUUAUAAAUGAUUUAGAGUAUUCUGUGAUUAUUUUCACUCAGGUUCGGACGUGGGGAUUGCCCAGUGACGGAUGCCAGCUAGAGUGAAGAAGCUAGUUGUAUAGAAUUUGUGCCAUUUUUGUACUAUUGUUAUUAUUUCCACAAAUUCUUUUUUGUAAUAUUACAUAUUAAUAUAUUCAAUUUAAUAUAAUAUUUGGGAUGCUUAAUAUUCGAGAUGCUUAAUAUUACAGAUAUGAAGCAUUGGGAUAUUCGAGAUAUGCUUAAUAUUCUAGAUCAGUCAUUUAUUCGCAUAAUAUUUGGGCAUACCAUAUUACAGAUCAGUCAUUCAUUCAUUCGCAUAAUAUUUGGGCAUACCAUAUUACAGAUCAGUUUUGAAUAAUAUUUAAGGGUCCGCUAGUUCAACUAGCAGAUUGAUGGACUGAAACAAAACCAAGGCGCGUUAAGCAGCAGGAGGGUAAAAUCUGUCCACGUCCCUAGUUCAACUAGCGGACGAUGUAUUACCAUUUUUAAUCCCAGCCCUUAAUUAUAUAAUGUGUGGUGGAGAUGCUAUUUGCCCAAUUUUCAUCCAUAGCAAAUACAUGCUCUGGAUCAUUCCCCUAUAUAUAUAUAUAUGGCGGGGCACUACCAUUUUCACACAUCUCAUGAAUAAAAACUACUCCCUCCCAGAUUAUUUCCAACUCUUGUUUUAGAGUGCAUGUCAUAGAUUUCAAGACUUGUAAAAAGUAUAUCAAAUAUAUUGAUUAUAUUAUUUAAAUAUAUAUAUAUAUAUAUGUAAUUAUGGAGCCUUCUUAAAAUCAAUGUUGCAUAAGAGCAACAAAAAUGUGGAACAAAGGGAGUAUAUGAUAGCCGUUACCAUGCUAUAACAGAUGAUUAAUAUCUAGAGUUGAGAUUCAAGUACCUUAGAGUAACUCCUAUACUUUGACAAGGAGAAUUUCCAUGGCCCGAGGAACCUAGAUUCAUUAGUAAUGUGAAAAUUCUACAGAUUAGUUGACAAAUCAAUACAAUUGGACAAGGGCAAUUAAUGGAUAAAAUAAUAAGGAGCAAUGACACAAACAUGAUUUACCUUUUCAAAUAAGCAUUUGGGAUCGUGCAAUUAAAUUAAACUACUUAAUAUUUAGCCAUGCAUUAGUUUAAGCAUCAGUCACAUAAUUUUUACAACAAUUUACAAUAAUGAACAAUGAUCUUCCAUAGAAUUUCCUAACAAUUUAGUUUCUAAUUAAUUAUAUUUCUUGUUACUAGUUUUGAAUCUUUGGAUUAUCAUACAAUUUAGUGGAUGAUACCUCCAAGAAAUACAUUAUCAGGACUUGUAUUUUGCAAUAUCCUCAUAACUAAGCCCUGAAGUGCUACUCGAACCUCUAAGGUGAGUGAAAAGGAAUGCAGUUGUAUGAACCUAGGAGAUGCAUAAUUCUACUUGGACGCACAGAAUGUCAGAGAUAAAGGACUGCGCCAUCAGCUCAGAAGGCUUGCAAGUCAAUCAAGCCUGCCGGGUAUCCCAUAAAAAUUAUACCAGAAACGGAUUUCUUUAAAACAAAAAAAUGGGUUUAAAUUUUGUGUUAAUUGGAUACUCAAUUUGCUUCAUUGAGGAAGUCCAUUUCCAACUUAAGAGUCUACUAAAGUUCAAUUACUUUAAUAUCAAGUAGUAUUGUUGCUACUUGAUUGAUUUGUUGAACUCAAAAUCACAAUUGUUCAGUGACAUUAACUUUCACUCUAAAAGGAAGGGCAAGAUGCUAGUUCACAUGGUUCAAAGAGAAGACUAAGUCAUGCUGAGAAGUUAAAAGUCCAUACUAAAUGAAGAAGAUAAUGUCCAAUGGAGGAGGAGGAACAAUUUGAUUGAAGAAAAUGAGAGAAGGAACUCGAGCAUCACAAGCUUGUGUUUCCAUUCACUGAAGGUGUUAAUGCUAGCAACUGGAUCGAGGAUUGUAAAGAAACAAAUUGUGAAAGAGCUCCCAUAUAUGAUGAGUAUGUGAAGAAUCAUUCACUGAAGGUGAUAAUGCUAGCAACUGGAUCAAGGAGUGUGAAGAAAAAAAUAGUGAAAGAGCUCCUAUAUGUCAAAGAAAGAGCAUACCAUAACCUAAUGUCAAAGAAACCAUGCUUUGCAACAUUUGCAAACAAUGAUAGAACAACACUUCAUUAUUGUACUCAUAUAUAUGAGAAACCAAAAGUUGCAAUAACAUUGAGUAAUUAAUAAUUUCAAGAAAUAUGAUUACUCAUAUUGAUGAUCUAGUAUAUUCGCAAAAGUUAAAUAAAUAAAAA
This 4548-nucleotide long non-coding RNA is filed under the name Panax ginseng (ginseng). RNAcentral describes it as "long non-coding RNA (PGIN_LNC005065)". Lineage: Eukaryota; Viridiplantae; Streptophyta; Magnoliopsida; Apiales; Araliaceae. The record is from RNAcentral.